CCAAUAGCGUAUAUUAAAGUUGUUGCAGUUAAAAAGCUCGUAGUUGAAUUUCGGGGUUAGUAGGUUGGUCAUGCCUCUGGUAUGUACUGGUCUCACUGAUUCCUCCUUCCUGAUGAACCGUAAUGCCAUUAAUUUGGUGUUGCGGGGAAUCUGGACUGUUACUUUGAAAAAAUUAGAGUGUUUAAAGCAGGCUAACGCUUGAAUACAUUAGCAUGGAAUAAUGAAAUAGGACGUUCGAUCUUAUUUUGUUGGUUUCUAAGAUUGACGUAAUGAUUAAUAGGGAUAGUUGGGGGCAUUAGUAUUCAAUUGUCAGAGGUGAAAUUCUUGGAUUUAUUGAAGACUAACUACUGCGAAAGCAUUUGCCAAGGAUGUUUUCAUUAAUCAAGAACGAAAGUUAGGGGAUCGAAGACGAUCAGAUACCGUCGUAGUCUUAACCAUAAACUAUGCCGACUAGGGAUCGGAUGAUGUUAAUUUUUUAAUGACUCAUUCGGCGCCUUACG
RNAcentral lists this ribosomal RNA (500 nucleotides) under uncultured Glomeromycotina. RNAcentral describes it as "partial small subunit ribosomal RNA". It matches the Rfam family "Eukaryotic small subunit ribosomal RNA", at positions 591 to 1092 of the family's 1831-position model. Lineage: Eukaryota; Fungi; Glomeromycota. The record is from RNAcentral.